AGAGUUUGAUCCUGGCUCAGAUUGACCUUUGGCGGCAGGCCUAACACAUGCAAGUCGAACGGUAACAGGAAGCAGCUUGCUGCUUCGCUGACGAGUGGCGGACGGGUGAGUAAUGUCUGGGAAACUGCCUGAUGGAGGGGGAUAACUACUGGAAACGGUAGCUAAUACCGCAUAACGUCGCAAGACCAAAGAGGGGGACCUUCGGGCCUCUUGCCAUCGGAUGUGCCCAGAUGGGAUUAGCUAGUAGGUGGGGUAACGGCUCACCUAGGCGACGAUCCCUAGCUGGUCUGAGAGGAUGACCAGCCACACUGGAACUGAGACACGGUCCAGACUCCUACGGGAGGCAGCAGUGGGGAAUAUUGCACAAUGGGCGCAAGCCUGAUGCAGCCAUGCCGCGUGUGUGAAGAAGGCCUUCGGGUUGUAAAGCACUUUCAGCGGGGAGGAAGGCGUUAAGGUUAAUAACCUUGGCGAUUGACGUUACCCGCAGAAGAAGCACCGGCUAACUCCGUGCCAGCAGCCGCGGUAAUACGUAGGGUGCAAGCGUUAUCCGGAAUUAUUGGGCGUAAAGGGCUCGUAGGCGGUAUCAGUCAGUCUGUCUUAAAAGUUCGGGGCUUAACCCCGUGAUGGGAUGGAAACUGCCAAUCUAGAGUAUCGGAGAGGAAAGUGGAAUUCCUAGUGUAGCGGUGAAAUGCGUAGAUAUUAGGAAGAACACCAGUGGCGAAGGCGACUUUCUGGACGAAAACUGACGCUGAGGCGCGAAAGCGUGGGGAGCGAACAGGAUUAGAUACCCUGGUAGUCCACGCCGUAAACGAUGUCGAUUUGGAGGUUGUGCCCUUGAGGCGUGGCUUCCGGAGCUAACGCGUUAAGUCGACCGCCUGGGGAGUACGGCCGCAAGGCUAAAACUCAAAGAAAUUGACGGGGGCCCGCACAAGCGGCGGAGCAUGCGGAUUAAUUCGAUGCAACGCGAAGAACCUUACCUGGUCUUGACAUCCACAGAACUUUCCAGAGAUGGAUUGGUGCCUUCGGGAACUGUGAGACAGGUGCUGCAUGGCUGUCGUCAGCUCGUGCUGGGAAAUGUUGGGUUAAGUCCCGCAACGAGCGCAACCCUUAUCCUUUGUUGCCAGCGGUCCGGCCGGGAACUCAAAGGAGACUGCCAGUGAUAAACUGGAGGAAGGUGGGGAUGACGUCAAGUCAUCAUGGCCCUUACGACCAGGGCUACACACGUGCUACAAUGGCGCAUACAAAGAGAAGCGACCUCGCGAGAGCAAGCGGACCUCAUAAAGUGCGUCGUAGUCCGGAUUGGAGUCUGCAACUCGACUCCAUGAAGUCGGAAUCGCUAGUAAUCGUGGAUCAGAAUGCCACGGUGAAUACGUUCCCGGGCCUUGCACACACCGCCCGUCA
RNAcentral lists this ribosomal RNA (1401 nucleotides) under human gut metagenome. RNAcentral describes it as "bacterial SSU rRNA". It matches the Rfam family "Bacterial small subunit ribosomal RNA". The record is from RNAcentral.